This is a non-coding RNA of Zonotrichia albicollis (white-throated sparrow), 801 nucleotides long. The record is from RefSeq and is a predicted model, not a curated record. NCBI's taxonomy places the organism in Eukaryota, Metazoa, Chordata, Aves, Passeriformes, Passerellidae.
CUUCUCAGUCUGUGAGGUGAGUAAACGAUCAUGUCCUCUGAAACCCAUAUCAAAGGGGAUGCUCUACCUUUCUAUGGUGUUUUCCUUUUAUUUAAAGCCCUUUUACAAAAACCAAUGGAAGUUGUUAUGACGUGAGAGGUAGAAAAGUUGCCAAAUGUCUUGGAAACACAGGCAGCUACUUCUGGGAAAGAGGAUAGCUAAGGGCUAACAGGAAGGCAACUGCCUGCUUCCAAAUUUAGAUUCAAUGUCCCAAAAACCAUAAAUCUGCUGAAUUUCAUCUCUGUCUCUUCAGGACUCUUAAAAAUCUUGUGCUUGAGAUGCUGUGUCUCAGGACUUUUGAAGUUCCAGAAGGGCUGGAACUGCAGAGAGCUGAGAUAAGAGCCCUACCCCUUCCUUGGUGCCGUGAGCACGAGAUGAAGGAUGAAGAGGAACUCAAGAUGCUGUCAAGAUUUCCCUUUGUACAUAUCUGAUCAGUUCAUGCCAGCUUUGGCUCCGUGCCUUUCCAGGGGAGAGCCUCCACCAGCAGGACAAGGUGGUUCAGCCCUCGGCGCAGCAAUGGAGACAGGAUUAGGAGCUGGGCUGGGGAUGGCUCCCACUCCACAAGGCAUGGGAUCUGUGAGAAAUACCUUGGGAAGACAUUGUCAGAGGUGUGCCUUUUUCUGGAGAGGUGGGUAUUGCCUGGAUGUGCUCCUUGGCUGCCAUAAAUCAGUAUAAACGCAUUCAUUUUAGUGGAGGUGUCGUGUCUGCUGGAGUCAGGCCCUGUGAUGUUGCUCAUUACACAGGUUUUGGGUAAGGAGCCAA